GAAGAUCUUAUAUUCUGGAAACUUGGUUAGAAACAAACUCAGGCUUGCCUCAUCCAACUUCUUUUUCUAUGUGGAUCCUACUCUAAGCAAUGCCUCUGGCAAUAUAAUCUAGUAGUUAAAUGGAUUCUAAUAUUAGACUGCCUUGAUUCAUGUUCUGAUUCUACUCUUAAUAGCUUUGAGACCCUAAGCAAGUUAUUUAAUCUGCUCUAUGACUCAAUUUUCUCAACUGUAAAAUAGGGGUAAUUAUUAUACCUACUUCAGAUAGCCUACCUCAGGGGAUUGCUAUGAAAAUUAAAUUAUUGUAUAAAUGUAAAUUGCUUCAAAGAAUUCCUAGUACAAAUACAAAAUGAAAGCUCAGUAAAUGUUAACUCUCACCAUCAUCUGCAAAUAUGCCUCUAUUUGGAUGCUUCUAGGGACAGCAGAGGGUUCACUUGCCCCUCCCCUCCAAAAGCCUAUCAACAUGUAGCCGGGGACAUUCUGGUUAUCAUGAGCUUUGGAAUCAGACAAACCUAAAUAUGAAACCUUAUUUUCUCUGCAUGAUGAUAUCUUAGUGUAGAAUGGCAGUCUUCACUGGGCCAUUGUGAGGGCUAGAUAAGGUGCUAUAUAGAAAUCGUAAAGUACUCUGCAUGUUUCCAGUUCCAUGGGAGGUACUUAUUAACAAUAGUUGCUGCUGUGAUGAUAAUGAUUGAAGAUCAAGAAGAAAAUAAAGAACAGGAGAAAGAAGAAGGUAAAGAAAAAGUAGCUCUAGUAGCCACAUCAGCUGCUGCUGCCAUCUAUUAAAAAGUUCUUUCUGUCUUGCUGAGUUCUGCCUUCCGGCAGUUUUACCUCACACUCCUAGCUCUGCCCACUGGAGCUGCACAGAACACAUGACCCAGUCUCCUUUCUGUCAGACUGCAGAUACUCAUAGAGGGUGGCACAGCCUUCUCCCUGCACCUGUAGCAAUGGCAGUGCUACCUCUUCCCUGUGCCCUCUCUCCAAACAGAGAGCUCCGGAUCUUCAAAU
This 1002-nucleotide long non-coding RNA is filed under the name Marmota monax (woodchuck). Lineage: Eukaryota; Metazoa; Chordata; Mammalia; Rodentia; Sciuridae. The record is from RNAcentral.